GGGCGCGUAGCUCAGCGGUAGAGCACCUCGUUUACACCGAGGGGGUCACAGGUCCAAUCCCUGUCGCGCCCA
Molecule: transfer RNA, 72 nt
Filed under: Deltaproteobacteria bacterium
Lineage: Bacteria; Pseudomonadati; Myxococcota; Myxococcia
Description: tRNA-Val
Rfam family: tRNA
About the family: Transfer RNA (tRNA) molecules are approximately 80 nucleotides in length. Their secondary structure includes four short double-helical elements and three loops (D, anti-codon, and T loops). Further hydrogen bonds mediate the characteristic L-shaped molecular structure. tRNAs have two regions of fundamental functional importance: the anti-codon, which is responsible for specific mRNA codon recognition, and the 3' end, to which the tRNAs corresponding amino acid is attached (by aminoacyl-tRNA synthetases). tRNAs cope with the degeneracy of the genetic code in two manners: having more than one tRNA (with a specific anti-codon) for a particular amino acid; and 'wobble' base-pairing, i.e. permitting non-standard base-pairing at the 3rd anti-codon position.
Source: RNAcentral